CAAAUUAUACUGAUUUUAGGUUUCCACAGAUAAAAGCACACCCUUGGCACAAGGUUUUCCACAAAAGGAUGCCUCCAGAGGCAAUUGAUCUUGCUUCACGACUACUGCAAUACUCACCAAGUCUACGAUGCACAGCAUUAGAAGCAUGUGCACAUUCUUUCUUUGAUGAGCUUCGGGAACCCAAUGCUCGCCUACCAAAUGGUCGCCCUUUGCCGCCACUAUUCAACUUUAAGCAGGAAUUAAAUGGGGCAUCUCCUGAGCUCGGCAACAAGCUGAUACCGGAUCAUGUUAAAAGGCAAAUGGGUCUAAACUUUUUGCA
This 319-nucleotide unclassified non-coding RNA is filed under the name Hevea brasiliensis (rubber tree). The record is from RNAcentral. Lineage: Eukaryota; Viridiplantae; Streptophyta; Magnoliopsida; Malpighiales; Euphorbiaceae.